UAGGGAAUCUUCCACAAUGGACGCAAGUCUGAUGGAGCAACGCCGCGUGAGUGAAGAAGGUUUUCCGGAUCGUAAAGCUCUGUUGUUGGUGAAGAAGGAUAGAGGCAGUAACUGGUCUUUAUUUGACGGUAAUCAACCAGAAAGUCACGGCUAACUACGUGCCAGCAGCCGCGGUAAUACGUAGGUGGCAAGCGUUGUCCGGAUUUAUUGGGCGUAAAGCGAGCGCAGGCGGAAUGAUAAGUCUGAUGUGAAAGCCCACGGCUCAACCGUGGAACUGCAUCGGAAACUGUCAUUCUUGAGUGCAGAAGAGGAGAGUGGAACUCCAUGUGUAGCGGUGGAAUGCGUAGAUAUAUGGAAGAACACCAGUGGCGAAGGCGGCUCUCUGGUCUGCAACUGACGCUGAGGCUCGAAAGCAUGGGUAGCGAACAGGAUUAGAUACCCUGGUAGUCCAUGCCGUAAACGAUGAGCGCUAG
Molecule: ribosomal RNA, 473 nt
Filed under: uncultured bacterium
Lineage: Bacteria
Description: partial 16S ribosomal RNA
Rfam family: Bacterial small subunit ribosomal RNA
Source: RNAcentral